UGCGGCUGCCCUGACCAGGGCGUUUCCUCCCUAGACUCGGGCCGCUCGCAAGGGCGGCCCAUUUUCAUUUGUCCAGC
This 77-nucleotide small RNA is filed under the name Methylobacterium nodulans ORS 2060. RNAcentral's name for it is "Makes More Granules Regulator RNA (mmgR)". It matches the Rfam family "Makes More Granules Regulator RNA (mmgR)". Rfam says of the family: SuhB later renamed mmgR (makes more granules regulator) was a putative non-coding RNA found multiple times in the Agrobacterium tumefaciens genome and related alpha-proteobacteria. Other non-coding RNAs uncovered in the same analysis include: speF, ybhL, metA, and serC. The record is from Rfam by way of RNAcentral. Lineage: Bacteria; Pseudomonadati; Pseudomonadota; Alphaproteobacteria; Hyphomicrobiales; Methylobacteriaceae.